GGCCCAGUAGUUUAGCAAACUCAUGAUCGAUCUGGAGAGGCCGGGGGCGGGGUUCCACCCUCGUCGCCCGGAACCCCCUCAAUAGACCACUGAGUUGUGGGUUCAAAUCCUGCCUGGGCCA
Molecule: transfer RNA, 121 nt
Filed under: Marchantia polymorpha subsp. ruderalis
Lineage: Eukaryota; Viridiplantae; Streptophyta; Marchantiopsida; Marchantiales; Marchantiaceae
Rfam family: tRNA
About the family: Transfer RNA (tRNA) molecules are approximately 80 nucleotides in length.
Source: Rfam by way of RNAcentral